GGGCCAUCCAUGUGCACCCUCUUGGGGCCUUGACUUGGCAUGGGAGACAUUCAGCCGCCCAGACUAUGGAGAGGAACUUCCGGAAACUGCCCAAGGGUUUGUGAAGGGAUGUGGAAGCUGCCCAUGGUGGGGCCUGGCUCUCCCCAGAUCUGUUGGGGACAUUUGUCACGGAGCCGUCGUGGCUGCAGAGGAGCCAGGCCGGAGCACACAUGCUUGUCCUGGCAGAGAGCAGAGAAUCCUCCAGGCUGUCGGGGGGCAAGCGGACCGUGA
This 270-nucleotide long non-coding RNA is filed under the name Vulpes vulpes (red fox). Its description in RNAcentral is "lncRNA (ENSVVUG00000004591.1)". Lineage: Eukaryota; Metazoa; Chordata; Mammalia; Carnivora; Canidae. The record is from RNAcentral.